This 253-nucleotide ribosomal RNA is filed under the name uncultured bacterium. RNAcentral describes it as "partial 16S ribosomal RNA". It matches the Rfam family "Bacterial small subunit ribosomal RNA", at positions 524 to 776 of the family's 1533-position model. The record is from RNAcentral.
UACGUAUGGUGCAAGCGUUAUCCGGAAUGACUGGGUGUAAAGGGAGCGUAGACGGUUAUUCAAGUCUGAUGUGAAAGCCCUCGGCUUAACUGGGGGAGUGCAUUGGAAACUGAAGGACUAGAGUAUCGGAGAGGCAAGUGGAAUUCCUAGUGUAGCGGUGAAAUGCGUAGAUAUUAGGAGGAACACCAGUGGCGAAGGCGGCUUGCUGGACGAAAACUGACGUUGAGACUCGAAAGCGUGGGAAGCAAACAGG